RNAcentral lists this ribosomal RNA (463 nucleotides) under uncultured bacterium. Its description in RNAcentral is "partial 16S ribosomal RNA". It matches the Rfam family "Bacterial small subunit ribosomal RNA", at positions 28 to 507 of the family's 1533-position model. The record is from RNAcentral.
GAUGAACGCUGACAGAAUGCUUAACACAUGCAAGUCGAUGGGGAAGUGGUGCUUGCACCAUGGUAACCAUGGCGGACGGGUGAGUAACGCGUAAGGAACUUGCCUGCGGGACUGGGAUAACAGCAGGAAACUGCUGAUAAUACCGGAUAAGGUCAUUAAGCUGCAUAGCUUAGUGAUGAAAGGAGACGCCUGCGGAGAGCCUUGCGUCCUAUUAGCUAGUUGGAGGGGUAACGGCCCACCAAGGCGAAGAUAGGUAGCCGGCCUGAGAGGGUGGACGGCCACAAGGGGGCUGAGAUACGGCCCUUACUCCUACGGGAGGCAGCAGUGGGGAAUAUUGGACAAUGGGGGCAACCCUGAUCCAGCAAUUCUGUGUGCACGAAGACGGUUUUCGGAUUGUAAAGUGCUUUCAGCAGGGAAGAAGGAAGUGACGGUACCUGCAGAAGAAGCGACGGCUAAAUACGUG